GGGGUUGUGGCUCAGAGGUAGAGUGCUCACCUAGCAUGUGUGAGGCACUGGGUUUGAUCCUCAGCACCA
Molecule: transfer RNA, 69 nt
Filed under: Marmota marmota marmota (Alpine marmot)
Lineage: Eukaryota; Metazoa; Chordata; Mammalia; Rodentia; Sciuridae
Also listed under: 4 other names
Rfam family: tRNA
About the family: Transfer RNA (tRNA) molecules are approximately 80 nucleotides in length. Their secondary structure includes four short double-helical elements and three loops (D, anti-codon, and T loops). Further hydrogen bonds mediate the characteristic L-shaped molecular structure. tRNAs have two regions of fundamental functional importance: the anti-codon, which is responsible for specific mRNA codon recognition, and the 3' end, to which the tRNAs corresponding amino acid is attached (by aminoacyl-tRNA synthetases). tRNAs cope with the degeneracy of the genetic code in two manners: having more than one tRNA (with a specific anti-codon) for a particular amino acid; and 'wobble' base-pairing, i.e. permitting non-standard base-pairing at the 3rd anti-codon position.
Source: Rfam by way of RNAcentral